UUUUCCAAUCAUGAGAUAAAGAAAAACCAGUUCCUGUGAUUUGAGAACUCAUCACUGAAAAUGAUGCAGAGGUAGCUUUAGUUUGGCUAAGUGAGGUUAAUGUUGACCGUACCUUGUCUGUUUGUAUUUGCAUCUUCCUUAUUUCUAAUAGUAAAUUUUAAACAACUACAAAAAACAUUAGAAGCAUUAUGUAUUAUACUUUAAAAGUUUGUGGUCAACUGUAAUAGCAGUUA
RNAcentral lists this long non-coding RNA (233 nucleotides) under Bos taurus (domestic cattle). RNAcentral's name for it is "long non-coding RNA NONBTAT000349". Lineage: Eukaryota; Metazoa; Chordata; Mammalia; Artiodactyla; Bovidae. The record is from RNAcentral.